Molecule: long non-coding RNA, 8230 nt
Organism: Nerophis ophidion (straightnose pipefish)
Lineage: Eukaryota; Metazoa; Chordata; Actinopteri; Syngnathiformes; Syngnathidae
Exons: 3
Source: RefSeq, a predicted model, not a curated record
GUUCUAUUUUUGGCGAAAUUAAGACCAAGAAAACAAUCUGAAGAUGUCUUUUUUGUUUAGUUUUAAUGCCAUGAUUUUAAUAGUCCGGCCAUGCGGCCCCUGAGAUAAAAUGAGUUGGACGCCCCCGUGCUAGUUGAUGUUACCAUUAGUUACCACCACCAUGCUUGACAGUAGGUGUUGUGUUCCUGGGAUUAAAGGCCUCACCUAUUUCAACUUUUGUGGCCAAACAGCUAAUUUUUUUUUUCCAUCUGACCACAGAACUUUCCUCCAGAAGGUCUUAUCUUUGUCCAUGUGUUGUAGAAAUUAUCGGAACCUCAAGACAGCCAUGACAUUAUAUCCUUUACAAGUGUGUGUAAAAUUUUGACCACGACUCUAUGUACAUUUAUUCAGUUAUAAACAUUUGUUCCACUUUCUUCUUUCCUUCAUGGAUCUAAACUUUACCGCAGAAGGUAUUUUUUUCUAUAUAUUUAUUGCAAUAUUUUCAGAUUGUGUUUGUUCUAUUUUUGGCCAAAGUAAGACAAAGAAAACAAUCUGAAGUUGUCUUUAUUUUUUUGUUUUAAUGCCAUGAUUUUUAUGUGUGCACAGAUGUUCCUCCAUGCGGCCCCUGAGAUAAAAUGAGUUGGACACCCCCGUGCUAGUUGAUGUUACCAUUAGUUACCACCACCAUGCUUGACAAACUUUCCUCCAGAAGGUCUUAUCUUUGUCCAUGCAAUGCAGAAAUUAUCGGAACCUCAAGACAGCCAUGAAAUUAUAUCCUUUACAAGUGUGUGUAAAAUUUUGACCACGACUCUAUGUACAUGUAUUCAGAUAUAAACAUUUGUUGACUUUCUUCUUUCCUUCAUGGAUCUAAACUUUACCGCAGAAGGUAUUUUUUUCGAUAUCUUUAUUGCAACUUUAUUUCGGAUUGUGUUUGUUCUAUUUUUGGCGAAAUUAAGACCAAGAAAACAACCUGAAGUUGUCUUUUUUUUUUAGUUUUAAUGCCAUGAUUUUAAUAGUCCGGCCAUGCGGCCCCCGAGAUAAAAUGAGUUGGACACCCCCGUGCUAGUUGAUGUUACCAUUAGAUACCACCACCAUGCUUGACAGUAGGUGUUGUGUUCCUGGGAUUAAAGGCCUCACCUAUUUCUCCUUUUGUGGCCAAACAGCUAAUUUUGUUUUUUCCAUCUGACCACAGAACUUUCCUCCAGAAGGUCUUAUCUUUGUCCAUGUGUUGUAGAAAUUAUCGGAACCUCAAGACAGCCAUGACAUUAUAUCCUUUACAAGUGUGUGUAAAAUUUUGACCACGACUCUAUGUACAUUUAUUCAGUUAUAAACAUUUGUUCCACUUUCUUCUUUCCUUCAUGGAUCUAAACUUUACCGCAGAAGGUAUUUUUUUCUAUAUUUUUAUUGCAACCUUUUUUUAGAUUGUGUUUGUUCUAUUUUUGGCCAAAGUAAGACCAAGAAAACAAUCUGAAGUUGUCUUUAUUUUUUAGUUUUAAUGCCAUGAUUUUAAUAGUCCGGCCAUGCGGCCCCUGAGAUAAAAUGAGUUGGACACCCCCGUGCUAGUUGAUGUUACCAUUAGAUACCACCACCAUGCUUGACGGUAGGUAUUGUGUUCCUGGGAUCAAAGGCCUGACGUAUUUCUCCUUUUGUGGCCAAACAGCUAAAAAUUUUUUUUCAUCUGACCACAGAACUUUCCACCAGAAGGUCUUAUCUUUUUCCAUGUGUUGUAGAAAUUAUCGGAACCUCAAGACAGCCAUGACAUUAUAUCCUUUACAAGUGUGUGUAAAAUUUUGACCACGACUCUAUGUACAUUUAUUCAGAUAUAAACAUUUGUUCCACUUUCUUCUUUCCUUCAUGGAGCUAAACUUUACCGCAGAAGGUAUUUUUUUUCUAUAUCUUUAUUGCAACUUUUUUUUAGAUUGUGUUUCUUCUAUUUUUGGCCAACUUAAGACCAAGAAAACAAUCUGAAGUUGUAUUAAUUCUUUAAUUUUAAUGCCAUGAUUUUAAUAGUCCGGCCAUGCGGCCCCUGAGAUAAAAUGAGUUGGACACCCCCGUGCUAGUUGAUGUUACCAUUAGUUACCACCACCAUGCUUGACAGUAGGUGUUGUGUUCCUCGGGUUAAAGGCCUCACCUAUUUCUUCUUUUGUGGCCAAACCGCUAAAUUUUUUUUUCCAUCUGACCACAGAACUUUCCUCCAGAAGGUCUUAUCUUUGUCCAUGUGUUGUAGAAAUUAUCGGAACCUCAAGACAGCCAUGACAUUAUAUCCUUUACAAGUGUGUGUAAAAUUUUGACCACGACUCUAUGUAUAUUUAUUCAGUUAUAAACAUUUGUUCCACUUUCUUCUUUCCUUCAUGGAUCUAAACUUUACCGCAGAAGGUAUUUUUUUUUCUAUAUCUUUAUUGCAACUUUUUUUUAGAUUGUGUUUCUUCUAUUUUUGGCCAAAGUAAGACCAAGAAAACAAUCUGAAGUUGUAUUAAUUCUUUAAUUUUAAUGCCAUGAUUUUAAUAGUCCGGCCAUGCGGCCCCUGAGAUAAAAUGAGUUGGACACCCCCGUGCUAGUUGAUGUUACCAUUAGUUACCACCACCAUGCUUGACAGUAGGUGUUGUGUUCCUGGGAUUAAAGGCCUCACCUAUUUCUCCUUUUGUGGCCAAACAGCUAAUUUUUUUUUUCCAUCUGACCACAGAACUUUCCUCCAGAAGGUCUUAUCUUUGUCCAUGUGUUGUAGAAAUUAUCGGAACCUCAAGACAGCCAUGACAUUAUAUCCUUUACAAGUGUGUGUAAAAUUUUGACCACGACUCUAUGUACAUUUAUUCAGUUAUAAACAUUUGUUCCACUUUCUUCUUUCCUUCAUGGAUCUAAACUUUACCGCAGAAGGUAUUUUUUUCUAUAUAUUUAUUGCAAUAUUUUCAGAUUGUGUUUGUUCUAUUUUUGGCCAAAGUAAGACAAAGAAAACAAUCUGAAGUUGUCUUUAUUUUUUUGUUUUAAUGCCAUGAUUUUUAUGUGUGCACAGAUGUUCCUCCAUGCGGCCCCUGAGAUAAAAUGAGUUGGACACCCCCGUGCUAGUUGAUGUUAUCAUUAGAUACCACCACCAUGCUUGACAGUAGGUGUUGUGUUCCUGGGAUUUAAGGACUCACCUAUUUCUCCUUUUGUGGCCAAACAGCUAAAAAAAAAUGUUUUAUCUGACCACAGAACUUUCCUCCAGAAGGUCUUAUCUUUGUCCAUGUGUUGUAGAGAUUAUCGGAACCUCAAGACAGCCAUGACAUUAUAUCCUUUACAAGUGUGUGUAAAAUUUGGACCACGACUCUAUGUACAUUUAUUCAGUUAUAAACAUUUGUUCACUUUCUUCUUUCCUUCAUGGAUCUAAACUUUACCGCAGAAGGUAUUUUUUUCUAUAUUUUUAUUGCAACUUUUUUUUAGAUUGUGUUGGUUCUAUUUUUGGCCAAAGUAAGACCAAUAAAACAAUCUGAAGUUGUCUUUAUUUUUUAGUUUUAAUGCCAUGAUUUUAAUAGUCCGCCCAUGCGGCCCCUGAGAUAAAAUGAGUUGGACACCCCCGUGCUAGUUGAUGUUACCAUUAGAUACCACCACCAUGCUUGACAGUAGGUCUUGUGUUCUGGGAUUAAAGGCCUCACCUAUAUCUCCUUUUGUGGCCAAACAGCUAAUUUUGUUUUUUCAUCUGACCACAGAACUUUCCUCCAGAGGGUCUCAUCUUUGUCCAUGUUUUGUGGAAAUUAUUGGAACCUCAAGACAGCCAUUUGAUGUUACCAUUAGUAGUUUAGCAGAACAUAAAUAAACGGCUACAUUGUUCACAAUUACUCAUUGUCUGGCGUUAGGGUUGCCAACACCCUGAAAAAAGAACAAGGCACACCUAGCAGGGCUGGUCCAUCCAAAUAUUUUUGCUUUUUUUGUUCGCGUGAAAGGAGUUUAAUAAUCCCACAAAGGUUGAAUUGAGGCAAGCGGAUUCUUGCACGUGACAAUGUUUGCAUUCAUGAUAAAUUAUAGUUAUUAUGAUCAUUUUACUUUUAUUUUAGCCUUCAAUUCAUUUGCUGCAAGGUACUUUGGAAUUGCCUUGUGACGAACUGUGCUCGAUAAAUAAAACCUCGCCACGCUUUGGUUUGACUUUGUACUAUUUGACUCCCACCAGAAUUUAAACAGACGCGCAGGUUUUGCCAGAAUACAAAUACACGGCAACCAAAUUGUUGAAUUAAUUUUUUGUGCAAAAAUACAAGCUUUCUUGUUUAAAGGCGUACGUCAACCAGCAAGUUUUUGGACGGGAAAAUUGUGAUAUCAAGUCGGCUCUUACCGGAGACUUCAGUGGAUUAUGGGACCUCCUCCUGCAGCUCAAAAAGGCAGCUGUGAUCUUGGCUCCUCGGCGUUCUCUCAGAGACACUGGCGUUCACCGCAGCCAUCCGACUUUCAGGCUGGACGACUGCAACGCACUUCUUGUCGGGAUCCCCAGCAAGAACAUGCAGAAGCUGCCGUACAUACAAAAUAGUGCUGCGAGGAUCCCUUCACUGGCUUCCUGUUCCACUCAGGAUUGAAUUCAAAAUCUCCCUCCUAACUCACCAGUGCCUCCAUGGAAAUGCCUCCCUCUACCUCAAAGAACUGCUCAACUCCAAAUCCUCCACACGACACCCGCGCUCCAAACAGGCUAACCUCCUCCAACCUCCACGGAGACUGGGGUUUCUGCUCCGCUGCUCCCAGUCUGUGGAACGCUCCCUGACCACCUGAGGGCACCUCAGACUGUGGAUGUUUUUAAAAAAGGCUUAAAGGGGAACAUUAUCACCAGACCUAUGCAAGCGUCAAUAUAUACCUUGAUGGUGCAGAAAAAAGACCAUCUAUUUUUUUAACCGAUUUCCGAACUCUAAAUGGGUGAAUUUUGGCGAAUUAAACACUUUUCUGUUUAUCGCGCUGGAAGCGAUGACGUCAGAAUGUGACGUCGCCGAGGUAACACACCCGCCAUUUACAUUUCCAACACAUUACAAACACCGGGUCUCAGCUCUGUUAUUUUCCGUUUUUUUUACUAUUUUUUGGAACCUUGGAGACAUCAUGCCUCGUCGGUGUGUUGUCGGAGGGUGUAACAACACUAACAGGGAGGGAUUCAAGUUGCCCCACUGGCCCGAAGAUGCCAAAGUGUCUGCCGCCAGACCCCCAUUGAAUGUGCUGGAGUUUCUCCACAUUUUACCGGCGAUGCUAAAGCAGACAUGGCACAGAGAUGUAUGGAUAACCUGCAGAUGCAUUUGCAACGAUUAAAUCAACGAAAUCACAAAGGUGAGUUUUGUUGAUGUUGUUGACUUAUGUGCUAAUCAGACAUAUUUGGUCAUGGCAUGACUGCCAGCUAAUCGAUGCUAACAUGCUACGCUAAUCGAUGCUAACAUGCUAUUUACGCUAGCUGUUUGUACAUUUGAAACUACAUACCCGCAUUUAAUGCGAAACAAACACUUACCAAUCGACGGAUUGGUAAGUGUCUGCCGCCAGACCCCCAUUGAAUGUGCUGGAGUGUCUCCACAUUUUACCGGCGAUGCUAAGACAGACAUGGCACAGAGAUGUAUGGAUAACCUGUAGAUGCAUUUGCAACUAUAUUACGUUUCCUCCCACCAACAUUUAAUGCGAAAAAAACACUUACCAAUCGACGGAUUUAAGUUGCUCCAGUGUCAAAAAAUGCAAAAGUCCUGAUCGUUUGGUCCGCACAUUUUACCGGCGAUGCUAACGCAGCUAUUCGGCCAUGCUAUGGCUAUGAAUAGCGUCAAUAGCUAUUCGCUCGAUAGCUUCAGUUUCUUCUUCAAUAUUUUCAUACUCCAACCAUCUGUUUCAAUACAUGCGUAAUCUGUUGAAUCGCUUAAGUCGCUGAAAUCUGAGCUAAUGUCGCUAUAUCUUGCUGUGGUAUUCCCAUUGUUUGUUUACAUUGGCAGCACUGUGUGACGUCACAGGGAAAUAGCCAGUGUCUUCGCAGAGAGCGAAAAUAAGGCACUUUAAAGCUUUAUUGAGGGAUAUUCCGAGACCGGUAAAAUUUUGAAAAAAAAUUCAAAACAUACAACAAGCCACCGGGAACUGAUUUUUAUUGUUUUUAACCCUUUUGAAAUUGUGAUAAUGUUCCCCUUUAAAAACCCAACUUUUUUAAAAAGCCUUUUUGUAGACAUGCAUGCAGGCUGUUUGUAGUUUUAUAUAGUAUUUAUUUUUAUUAUUACUAUUUUUUUACACUGUGGCACUUUGAGGUUGUUUGCUCAACGGAAAGUGCUUUUUUUUUUUUUUACAAAUAAAAUCUAUUAAUAUUAUUUGUUCAAUUGAAAUGAAUGUCUUCUCUUUUAGCGACUAGGUUUGUGGUUGAAAGUUCGCAUUUUCGGUAGGUGAAUGUUCAACUGGAGUUGCAAUGUUUUUAUUUUUGCAACCACAUGUUCUCUCAGUCAUUAUAAUACACAAGUAAAACCCAUAAAAUUAGAAUAAGGUGUACAAGUCCGAAUUAUGUCAGCAAUUAACUUCAAAUGUGAAACUAAUAUGUGGUAUUAACUCGUUACAUGCAAAGUGAGAUAUGUCAAAUCUUAAGUUAUAAUUUUGAUAUAACUUAAGAAUUAUAUCAAAAGAUAUUGGAUAUAAUAGACUCCAGCACCCCCCCACGACCCCAACAAGGACAAACGGUAGAAAAUGGAUGGAUGGAUGAUAACAUAAAUAUUGAAUAUUUUCAAUUCAAAGUUUUCAUAACCAUAAUCAUCAAAGUAACCAAUAAAUUGCAUGUCAAAAGUUAAUAUCGCGUUACAUUAUUGAGUAGUUUGCACAUGAUUCAAUUCCAUGAAAGAAAAUUAACUUCUGACAUUUAUUUACAAAAAAAAAAAACUGCUUAUUUUCUUCUAUGCGAUGUAUGUAACUUUCUAAGGUCAUGUUACCUCCGAACGAUCUUGAGUGGAGACAGGUCAGCAGCGCAGAGACGUGGCCCCAACUGAUGCACGGAUGAGUGCUCCACCCUGGGUCCCGACUUUGGACAGCUCGCGCUUCAUCUGCGGUCACCGAAUCUGUGCCCAGAAAAGAAACGGCAGAUCAACUGGUCUAAAAAAGGUGGCUCUAUUUAAACGCCAGAGUGUACAAAUGAGUUUUAAGAUGGGACCUAAAUGCUUCUACUGAGGAGUUGCUGACAGUGGUGUUCCUGAGCCCAUGUGGUGAUAUCCUUUACACACCGAUGUCGCUUUUUGAUGCAGUACCGCCUGAGGGAUCGAAGAUCCGUAAUAUCAUCGCUUACGUGCAGUGAUUUCUCCAGUUUCUCUGAACCUGUUGAUAUGACAGACCGUAGAUCAUGGGUGUCAAACUCUGGCCCACGGUGUAAUUUCAUUUGGCCCUUGAGGCAAUAAUAAAUUAACAUUAGAGCUGGCCCGCCGGUAUUACACAGUGGCGGUGCCGCUGUAACACCGCAUUCAACGCCAAUUCUCAUACUUGCCAAGCCUCAAGGGUGGAGGACAGAGUAAAACAACUUGCACUGAGCCUAGUCUAUAAAAUCCGCUACACCUCCUUGAUACCGAAGUACAUGUCAAAUUACUUCCUUAACGUAAAUGACCGCCAUAACCACAACACCAGGGGGAGCUCCACAAACCACGUUAAACCCAGAUUUCGAUCUAACAAAGGUCUUAACUCAUUCUCUUUCUAUGCCACAUCAAUGUGGAAUGCACUCCCAACAGGUAUAAAAGUAAGUGCAUCUCUAUAUUCCUUCAAAACCGCUCUAAAACAACACCUCCAGGCAACUUCAACACUUUACUAAUACCCUCCUCCAUUCACAUCCCAUCUCCCCGGAUUAUAAACAACUCAAAUGUACUUCUAAUGUAUAUACUUGUUCUUAUGCUAUGUGAACUCACUAUGCUCUCUGCUGGCUGUACAUAUCCUACUAAAUAAGACCUACACUGUUUCAAUGUCCACAUUUCUCUGUUGAUGCAAUUGUUGAUGACUGAAGUACUGAUAUCAACCAAAGCUCCUCAUCCCACCCCCCGGAUUGUAAAUAAUGUAAAUAAUUCAAUGUACAUACUAUGAUGAUUAACUUGUGUGAUGACUGUAUUAUGUUGAUAGUAUAUAUUUGUACCAUGAAUUGAUUAACGUGGACUCCGACUUAAACAAGUUGAAAAACUUAUUGGGGUGUUACCAUUUAGUGGUCAAUUGUACGGAAUAUGUACUGUACUGUGCAAUCUACUAAUAAAAGUAUCAAUCAAUCAAUCAAAGCCUCCCUAUUUUUCCAGGAGAAUUACGAAUUUCAGUGCCUCCCCCGAAAAUCUCCCGG